RNAcentral lists this unclassified non-coding RNA (434 nucleotides) under Hevea brasiliensis (rubber tree). Lineage: Eukaryota; Viridiplantae; Streptophyta; Magnoliopsida; Malpighiales; Euphorbiaceae. The record is from RNAcentral.
UUUUUUUUUUUUUUUUUUAAUUGAGUUCUGCAUUGAUUUGCCUGUCCAAUUUUAGAUGCAACUGAUAGGCUUUUAUGGGAGCACAAUUCCUCCAGUGAAUAUGGGAAAACAAGAAUAUCAAAUUUUUUUACCAUGUAUACUUUUAGCAUCCACUUGAAAGCCCAAAGAAUAAGAUGAGCCAAGAUUUUUAUAAAUAUGCAAAUUGGCGGCUUCAGCAAUAUGCAUCUUCGCAAACAAAAUAUCUAUGAGUUCUAAAAUGUCAUUUUGGAAAUCAAAUAGGCCGAAUUAAAGAUCUUUUUGGAUUCAUAUUUUAUACCUAUCUUUCAAGUAGCAAAAGCUCACUCUCUUGCUUGAUUUUCUGGCUGUGACUUUUGCUCCUUACAAUAACAUUAGUAAACCAUCUUUCUUUAAUAUUCUUUAUUCAGGACUACUGU